This 369-nucleotide ribosomal RNA is filed under the name alpha proteobacterium oral taxon A67. RNAcentral's name for it is "bacterial SSU rRNA". It matches the Rfam family "Bacterial small subunit ribosomal RNA", at positions 29 to 425 of the family's 1533-position model. Lineage: Bacteria; Pseudomonadati; Pseudomonadota; Alphaproteobacteria. The record is from RNAcentral.
AAUGAACGCUGGCGGCAUGCCUAACACAUGCAAGUCGAACGAAGGCUUCGGCCUUAGUGGCGCACGGGUGCGUAACGCGUGGGAAUCUGCCCUUGGGUUCGGAAUAACUCAGAGAAAUUUGAGCUAAUACCGGAUGAUGUCGCAAGACCAAAGAUUUAUCGCCCAAGGAUGAGCCCGCGUAGGAUUAGCUAGUUGGUGGGGUAAAGGCCCACCAAGGCGACGAUCCUUAGCUGGUCUGAGAGGAUGAUCAGCCACACUGGGACUGAGACACGGCCCAGACUCCUACGGGAGGCAGCAGUGGGGAAUAUUGGACAAUGGGCGAAAGCCUGAUCCAGCAAUGCCGCGUGAGUGAUGAAGGCCUUAGGGUUG